UGGCCGAGGUACCACGCAGUGUCAAAGGUAGUCAUAAUCACUUGUUCUUUAAUUGGGGACUGGUAUGAAAGAAAGUUUGAGGUCUAAUCUGUCUCUUUUUUGUUUUAAAAUUUGCUGUCUGUGUGAAGAAGCACAGGUUGUUAAAAAAGACAAGAAGACCCUUUUAAGCUUUAUUUAGAACUCUUUGGUUUUUUCUUUUAAGAAUUUGGCCAAGGUCUAUAAAUUUGGUUGGGGUGACUGAAGAAGAGAAAAUCUUCUUUUGUUUGCUAGUACUUUAGGUUAAAAAAUGACCCAAGAUUUCUUGGUUGUAAGAUAUUAGUUACUAAAGGGAUAACAGCGUAAUCUUUUCAAAGAGUUCUUAUUGAAGAAAAGGAUUGCGACCUCGAUGUUGACUUGCUUUUUCCUGUUAUGGUGUAGAAGCUGCAAGGGUUGGUCUGUUCGACCAUUAAAAUAGU
RNAcentral lists this ribosomal RNA (455 nucleotides) under Nemertea sp. Antarctic ARM-2008. RNAcentral describes it as "partial 16S ribosomal RNA". It matches the Rfam family "Bacterial large subunit ribosomal RNA", at positions 1928 to 2597 of the family's 2925-position model. Lineage: Eukaryota; Metazoa; Nemertea. The record is from RNAcentral.